RNA transcript from Strongylocentrotus purpuratus (purple sea urchin), 1798 nucleotides. RefSeq lists it as uncharacterized. The transcript is spliced from 2 exons. NCBI's taxonomy places the organism in Eukaryota, Metazoa, Echinodermata, Echinoidea, Camarodonta, Strongylocentrotidae. The record is from RefSeq and is a predicted model, not a curated record.
CAGAAUCCACCAUUGGCACACCAUUCACCAUACAAUUCCACCAUUUAAACACCAUUCACCAUACAUUGAGCUACACCACCACCAUGUGAUAGACAGCCAACAGAUGAUGUUCAAAGAAGAAAUGAAUUGGGUGGUAAGAGGAGAUACCGACAUGCUGCAGAUAGACUGAGCAGAGACAAGGCCAAACACCCACAAUUGGCUCCAUGCCACUGUCGUCGUCAUUGUAAUUCCCUCCAUGAUCCAAAAGAAAGAGAGGCCAAUUGGCAAGAAUGUUGGAGGUUAGAUUAUAGUGAUUGGCGAUACUGGGUAGUCAAAAACAUUGAAAAAGGUUACAGGAAUUCAACAACACGACGUGGGCGGCUAUCGAGACGAAAGUAUACCUUAAAGUACAGAAUCGAUGGCAAGGAAGUUUGCAAAACAUACUUUUUACACACCAUAGGAUAUAAAGAUGAUGCAUAGAACUGCCCUACUCAAAGGCAACAAGGACAAGAGAGGGGCACAUACUUUGUGAGGUUGUUGAUUUGGAAACGAACAAAAGUUAGGAAUCUUAACUUGGAAGAACUUCAGUAUGCUUCUCUACAGAGUGUCCCCCCAAAAGUUUACAGUUGGACUAACUCCUUCCAAUUAAAUAUUUCAAAAUAUUUGAAAACAUGUUUAUACCAAUAGGAAGCCCAUGGUGUAUUAUAUCAAAAUACAUCAAAAAUCAAAUCAAACUUUGACCUUCACUAAGUUGAUGAUUCCAGUUGGAGAUGAUGUUCUAAUUACCAAGUACACAUAGCUCAAAAGUUUACAGUUGGACUAACCUUCCAAUUAAAUAUUUCAUACUAGUAUUUUUGAAAUGUCGAUUUCUAUUACUGUGAUAGAUGCAUUGUUUUUUCCUUAUACAUUACGGACGCUUACAAUAAUUAGCGAGUUAUUAAUGUAAUGAGCGGCAGCCUUUCGCUAUAUAAACAGUGCUACCCAUACUUGUAUUUUUGAAAUGUUGAUUUCUAUUACUGUGAUAGAUGCAUUGUUCUUUCCUUAUACAUUACGGACGCUUACAACCAUUAGCGAGGUAUUAAUGUACAUUAUAAUAUUUCAUAUUUCUGCAUGAUUAUGAUAUAAUUAUACAACGAUCAAGCAUUUGAAAUAAUUUUGUUUUCCACAGAUAGCAUAUUUUCAGUUGCCAGUUGGGAAAAAAUCCUUAUUUCGAUUACACUUGUAUUAUCAAAUGUCAUAAUUGUUUUUUAAAGUUGUUAUUUUGGGGCAAAUUUAUCAUAUGAAAUAAUAAUGCAUAUUUCAUAAUAUGAAUGUUUGAAACAGAGUAUUAAGGAGUUUGAGCUAUUUUUUUGGUUCAUAGUUAACAUUAUAAGUUAAUAAUGCAUAUUUCAUAGCACAGCAGUUGUAAAAUAAACUGAUUGAGAAUUUUUUUUUUUUUCUUGAUAAAAGACAUUUGUGUCAAUUUAAAAAUUUGAAAAUGAAAUCUCUCAGUGCUAAGAAAAAAGGUGAACAUUUGUUUGAAGGUCCUUCGAAAUUUGCGACAGCAAGUCAUCAGUGUUUAAUUGUGGGGAAAUGUAUUUUUUUCUACAGCUUUGACACCAUAGUAUUUUAAUGUCUUAUUUGAAAGUGUCAUCAAAUUAAAAAUUAGCAUAAAAUAUGACUUAAAAAAUUGAUCAUCAGCACUAAUGGAACUGUCUAAAAUGUUUGCAAUUACAAUACCUAGGUACAUAUCUCUCUGCUUAACUUGUACUUUUGUUCUCAAAAUGGAAUUUGUUCUGCUGUUUGAAUAAAGUGAGUCCAAAGAUGCCCUUGAAAGUAA